GACGAACGCUGGCGGCAUGCUUAACACAUGCAAGUCGAACGGAAAGGCCCUGCUUUUGUGGGGUGCUCGAGUGGCGAACGGGUGAGUAACACGUGAGUAACCUGCCCUUGACUUUGGGAUAACUUCAGGAAACUGGGGCUAAUACCGGAUAGGAGCUCCUGCUGCAUGGUGGGGGUUGGAAAGUUUCGGCGGUUGGGGAUGGACUCGCGGCUUAUCAGCUUGUUGGUGGGGUAGUGGCUUACCAAGGCUUUGACGGGUAGCCGGCCUGAGAGGGUGACCGGCCACAUUGGGACUGAGAUACGGCCCAGACUCCUACGGGAGGCAGCAGUGGGGAAUAUUGCACAAUGGGCGGAAGCCUGAUGCAGCAACGCCGCGUGCGGGAUGACGGCCUUCGGGUUGUAAACCGCCUUCGCCUGUGACGAAGCGUGAGUGACGGUAAUGGGUAAAGAAGCACCGGCUAACUACGUG
This 468-nucleotide ribosomal RNA is filed under the name uncultured bacterium. Its description in RNAcentral is "partial 16S ribosomal RNA". It matches the Rfam family "Bacterial small subunit ribosomal RNA", at positions 28 to 507 of the family's 1533-position model. The record is from RNAcentral.